GACGAACGCUGGCGGCGUGCUUAACACAUGCAAGUCGAACGGAGAGGCCCUGCUUUUGUGGGGUGCUCGAGUGGAGAAAGGGUGAGUAACACGUGAGUAACCUGCCCUUGACUUUGGGAUAACUUCUGGAAACUGGGGCUAAUACCGGAUAUGAGCUCCUGCUGCAUGGGGGGGGUUGGAGAGUUUCGGCGGUUGGGUAUGGACUCGCGGCUUAUCAGCUUGUUGGUUGGGUAGUGGCUUACCAAGGCUUUGACGGGUAGCCGGCCUGAGAGGGUGACCGGCCCCAUGUGGCCUGAGAGACGGCCCAGGCGCCUACGGGAGGCAGGAGUGGAGAAUAUUGCACAAUGGGCGGAAGACUGAUGCAGCAACGCCGCGCGCGGGAUGACGGUCUUCGGGUAGAAAACCGCUUUCGCCGGAGACGAAGCGUGAGGACCGGAACUGGGUAAAGAAGCACCGCCAACCUACGU
Molecule: ribosomal RNA, 467 nt
Filed under: uncultured bacterium
Lineage: Bacteria
Description: partial 16S ribosomal RNA
Rfam family: Bacterial small subunit ribosomal RNA
Source: RNAcentral